RNAcentral lists this unclassified non-coding RNA (276 nucleotides) under Hevea brasiliensis (rubber tree). Lineage: Eukaryota; Viridiplantae; Streptophyta; Magnoliopsida; Malpighiales; Euphorbiaceae. The record is from RNAcentral.
CAACCCCCUCCCAUCGAAAUGCACAUUCUAUUUCCUCGGGUAGAUACCAUAUAAAAGAUGUGUGGAUUCACUAAGAGUUGGGCAGCUUCUCUUUGAACAAGCGUGGAAGCACUUCAUGUGCGCUAAUGUCUAGAGGCUCUGGAUCCCUGCAUAGUGUUUGACCCUUCUCACUGAUACUAGGAAUAAACCAUAAUUUUCGCAAGAAAGGGCACUCCAAUUGUACAAAGAAACCAUCAUGUUGCCCAUGCUUCCAUUUCCUUGAUCCUUGACCUUUCC